RNAcentral lists this small RNA (743 nucleotides) under Pan troglodytes (chimpanzee). RNAcentral's name for it is "processed transcript". Lineage: Eukaryota; Metazoa; Chordata; Mammalia; Primates; Hominidae. The record is from RNAcentral.
GUGGGUGUGUUUCGGCCUGGCCUGGGUAGGCGCUUGUGCUGCCAGGGCGCCGGGCCCGGGUAGGCCGGGGUCUCGGGUGGCCGCCGGCCCAGGCGCUGGACGGCAGCAGGAUGGGGAAGGCGAAGGUCCCCGCCUCUAAGCGCGCCCCGAGCAGCCCCGUGGCUAAGCCGGGUCCUGUCAAGACGCUCACUCGGAAGAAAAACAAGAAGAAAAAAAGGUUUUGGAAAAGCAAGGCGCAGGAAGUAAGCAAGAAGCCAGCAAGCGGCCCCGGUGCUGUGGUGCGACCUCCAAAGGCACCAGAAGACUUUUCUCAAAACUGGAAGGCGCUGCAAGAGGGAAGACAUCUGGUUUGACGACGUGGACCCGGCGGAUAUCGAAGCUGCCAUAGGUCCAGAGGCGGCCAAGAUAGCGAGGAAACAGUUGGGUCAGAGCGAGGGCAGUGUCAGCCUCAGCCUCGUGAAAGAGCAGGCCUUCGGCGGCCUGACAAGAGCCUUAGCCUUGGACUGUGAGAUGGUGGGCGUGGGCCCUAAGGGGGAGGAGAGCGUGGCCGCCCGUGUGUCCAUCGUGAACCAGUAUGGGAAGUGCGUUUAUGACAAGUACGUCAAACCAACCGAGCCCGUGACGGACUAUAGGACAGCGGUCAGUGGGAUUCGGCCUGAGAACCUCAAGCAGGGAGAAGAGCUUGAAGUUGUUCAGAAGGAAGUGGCAGAGAUGCUGAAGGGCAGAAUUCUAGUGGGGCACGC